UCUACAGGUCAGUGUAUGUCACAGACAAGCAGGCCUCUUGUACUUCCUGUGAGUUGGUGGAAAUGACAGAGUCACGGCGGCCUACAGCAGCUCUGUCUGUGAUGGUUUAGACAGUUGCAGAGUAUUUUAGGAAGUGACGCCACCGCCCACCAUCAGGAAAUGGACUGUUUCUUUUAGUAGAUGUAAGUCAUGGGCUGAAGGCAAAUCGGUCAUGCACCACAGUCAAAUACGAAACGUAUUUUGAUCAGAAGGUAUAGACAGAGAACGUGGGUAAGUGGAAAGCCGCCGUGGGAAGGUGCAACCACUGUACGGUCCCUGAAACAAGGCACUGUUAUAAUUACAACCCUGCAGUCUUAUCACAAGAAGCAAG
Rhinichthys klamathensis goyatoka is the source of this 370-nucleotide long non-coding RNA. RefSeq lists it as uncharacterized. Lineage: Eukaryota; Metazoa; Chordata; Actinopteri; Cypriniformes; Leuciscidae. The transcript is spliced from 2 exons. The record is from RefSeq and is a predicted model, not a curated record.